AAAUUGAAGAGUUUGAUCAUGGCUCAGAUUGAACGCUGGCGGCAGGCCUAACACAUGCAAGUCGAACGGUAACAGAAAGCAGCUUGCUGCUUUGCUGACGAGUGGCGGACGGGUGAGUAAUGUCUGGGAAACUGCCUGAUGGAGGGGGAUAACUACUGGAAACGGUAGCUAAUACCGCAUAACGUCGCAAGACCAAAGAGGGGGACCUUCGGGCCUCUUGCCAUCGGAUGUGCCCAGAUGGGAUUAGCUAGUAGGUGGGGUAACGGCUCACCUAGGCGACGAUCCCUAGCUGGUCUGAGAGGAUGACCAGCCACACUGGAACUGAGACACGGUCCAGACUCCUACGGGAGGCAGCAGUGGGGAAUAUUGCACAAUGGGCGCAAGCCUGAUGCAGCCAUGCCGCGUGUAUGAAGAAGGCCUUCGGGUUGUAAAGUACUUUCAGCGGGG
This 447-nucleotide ribosomal RNA is filed under the name Escherichia coli. RNAcentral's name for it is "bacterial SSU rRNA". It matches the Rfam family "Bacterial small subunit ribosomal RNA", at positions 1 to 444 of the family's 1533-position model. Lineage: Bacteria; Pseudomonadati; Pseudomonadota; Gammaproteobacteria; Enterobacterales; Enterobacteriaceae. The record is from RNAcentral.